Molecule: transfer RNA, 74 nt
Filed under: Mesocricetus auratus (golden hamster)
Lineage: Eukaryota; Metazoa; Chordata; Mammalia; Rodentia; Cricetidae
Rfam family: tRNA
About the family: Transfer RNA (tRNA) molecules are approximately 80 nucleotides in length. Their secondary structure includes four short double-helical elements and three loops (D, anti-codon, and T loops). Further hydrogen bonds mediate the characteristic L-shaped molecular structure. tRNAs have two regions of fundamental functional importance: the anti-codon, which is responsible for specific mRNA codon recognition, and the 3' end, to which the tRNAs corresponding amino acid is attached (by aminoacyl-tRNA synthetases). tRNAs cope with the degeneracy of the genetic code in two manners: having more than one tRNA (with a specific anti-codon) for a particular amino acid; and 'wobble' base-pairing, i.e. permitting non-standard base-pairing at the 3rd anti-codon position.
Source: Rfam by way of RNAcentral
GGAAAGAUAGCUCAGCAGUUAAAAAGCACUGGUUGUUCUUCCAGGGGACCUGGGUUCAAUUCCCAGUAUCCUCA